RNAcentral lists this ribosomal RNA (1145 nucleotides) under uncultured cyanobacterium. RNAcentral's name for it is "bacterial SSU rRNA". It matches the Rfam family "Bacterial small subunit ribosomal RNA", at positions 377 to 1533 of the family's 1533-position model. The record is from RNAcentral. Lineage: Bacteria; Bacillati; Cyanobacteriota.
CGAAGCCUGACGGAGCAAUACCGCGUGAGGGAAGAAGGCUUUUGGGUUGUAAACCUCUUUUAUCAGGGAAGAAGAAUUGACGGUACCUGAAGAAAAAGCAUCGGCUAACUCCGUGCCAGCAGCCGCGGCAAUACGGAGGAUGCAAGCGUUAUCCGGAAUCAUUGGGCGUAAAGGGUCCGCAGGUGGCGAAUAAAGUCUGCUGUUAAAGACCGGGGCUUAACUCCGGAAAGGCAGUGGAAACUGAUUAGCUAGAGUACGGUAGGGGUAGAGGGAAUUCCCAGUGUAGUGGUGAAAUGCGUAGAUAUUGGGAAGAACACCGGUGGCGAAAGCGCUCUACUAGGCCGAAACUGACACUGAGGGACGAAAGCUAGGGUAGCGAAAGGGAUUAGAUACCCCUGUAGUCUUAGCGGUAAACGAUGGAUACUAGGUGUAACUUGUAUCGACCCGAGCUGUGCCGAAGCUAACGCGAUAAGUAUCCCGCCUGGGGAGUACGCACGCAAGUGUGAAACUCAAAGGAAUUGACGGGGGCCCGCACAAGCGGUGGAGUAUGUGGUUUAAUUCGAUGCAACGCGAAGAACCUUACCAGGGCUUGACAUGUCGCGAAUCUAGCGGAAACGUUAGAGUGCCUUAGGGAAUGCGAACACAGGUGGUGCAUGGCUGUCGUCAGCUCGUGUCGUGAGAUGUUGGGUUAAGUCCCGCAACGAGCGCAACCCUCGUCCUUAGUUGCCAAUAUUAAGUUAGGCACUCUAGGGAGACUGCCGGGGACAACUCGGAGGAAGGUGGGGAUGACGUCAAGUCAGCGUGCCCCUUACGUCCUGGGCGACACACGUACUACAAUGGUUGGGACAAAGGGCAGCAAGCUCGCGAGAGUAAGCGAAUCUCAUCAAACCCAGCCACAGUUCAGAUUGCAGGCUGCAACUCGCCUGCAUGAAGUAGGAAUCGCUAGUAAUCGCAGGUCAGCAUACUGCGGUGAAUUCGUUCCCGGGCCUUGUACACACCGCCCGUCACACCAUGGAAGCUGGCUACGCCCGAAGUCGUUACCCAAACCCGGUUUUGGGAGGGGGAUGCCGAAGGUAGAGCUAGUGACUGGGGUGAAGUCGUAACAAGGUAGCCGUACCGGAAGGUGUGGCUGGAUCACCUCCUUU